UCAGGUAGGACUACCCGCUGAACUUAAGCAUAUCAAUAG
Molecule: ribosomal RNA, 39 nt
Filed under: Solioccasus polychromus
Lineage: Eukaryota; Fungi; Basidiomycota; Agaricomycetes; Boletales; Boletaceae
Description: partial 28S ribosomal RNA
Source: RNAcentral